Molecule: ribosomal RNA, 99 nt
Filed under: uncultured bacterium
Lineage: Bacteria
Description: partial 16S ribosomal RNA
Rfam family: Bacterial small subunit ribosomal RNA
Source: RNAcentral
UACACACCGCCCGUCACACCAUGGGAGUUGGCUUUACCUUAAGCCGGCGCGCCAACCGCAAGGAGGCAGCCGACCACGGUCAGGUCAGCGACUGGGGUG